RNAcentral lists this ribosomal RNA (822 nucleotides) under Streptomyces lavendulocolor. RNAcentral describes it as "bacterial SSU rRNA". It matches the Rfam family "Bacterial small subunit ribosomal RNA", at positions 60 to 894 of the family's 1533-position model. Lineage: Bacteria; Bacillati; Actinomycetota; Actinomycetes; Kitasatosporales; Streptomycetaceae. The record is from RNAcentral.
AGUCGAACGAUGAACCCACUUCGGUGGGGGAUUAGUGGCGAACGGGUGAGUAACACGUGGGCAAUCUGCCCUUGCACUCUGGGACAAGCCCUGGAAACGGGGUCUAAUACCGGAUACGACCACUGAGGGCAUCUUCGGUGGUGGAAAGCUCCGGCGGUGAAGGAUGAGCCCGCGGCCUAUCAGCUUGUUGGUGGGGUAAUGGCCUACCAAGGCGACGACGGGUAGCCGGCCUGAGAGGGCGACCGGCCACACUGGGACUGAGACACGGCCCAGACUCCUACGGGAGGCAGCAGUGGGGAAUAUUGCACAAUGGGCGAAAGCCUGAUGCAGCGACGCCGCGUGAGGGAUGACGGCCUUCGGGUUGUAAACCUCUUUCAGCAGGGAAGAAGCGAAAGUGACGGUACCUGCAGAAGAAGCGCCGGCUAACUACGUGCCAGCAGCCGCGGUAAUACGUAGGGCGCAAGCGUUGUCCGGAAUUAUUGGGCGUAAAGAGCUCGUAGGCGGCUUGUCGCGUCGGAUGUGAAAGCCCGGGGCUUAACCCCGGGUCUGCAUUCGAUACGGGCAGGCUAGAGUGUGGUAGGGGAGAUCGGAAUUCCUGGUGUAGCGGUGAAAUGCGCAGAUAUCAGGAGGAACACCGGUGGCGAAGGCGGAUCUCUGGGCCAUUACUGACGCUGAGGAGCGAAAGCGUGGGGAGCGAACAGGAUUAGAUACCCUGGUAGUCCACGCCGUAAACGUUGGGAACUAGGUGUUGGCGACAUUCCACGUCGUCGGUGCCGCAGCUAACGCAUUAAGUUCCCCGCCUGGGGAGUACGGCCGCAAGGC